AGGAUGAACGCUAGCGACAGGCUUAACACAUGCAAGUCGAGGGGCAGCACAGGUAGCAAUACCGGGUGGCGACCGGCGCACGGGUGAGUAACGCGUAUGCAACUUGCCUAUCAGAGGGGGAUAACCCGGCGAAAGUCGGACUAAUACCGCAUGAAGCAGGGGCCCCGCAUGGGGAUAUUUGCUAAAGAUUCAUCGCUGAUAGAUAGGCAUGCGUUCCAUUAGGCAGUUGGCGGGGUAACGGCCCACCAAACCGACGAUGGAUAGGGGUUCUGAGAGGAAGGUCCCCCACAUUGGUACUGAGACACGGACCAAACUCCUACGGGAGGCAGCAGUGAGGAAUAUUGGUCAAUGGCCGAGAGGCUGAACCAGCCAAGUCGCGUGAGGGAUGAAGGUUCUAUGGAUCGUAAACCUCUUUUAUAAGGGAAUAAAGUGCGGGACGUGUCCCGUUUUGUAUGUACCUUAUGAAUAAGGAUCGGCUAACUCCGUGCCAGCAGCCGCGGUAAUACGGAGGAUCCGAGCGUUAUCCGGAUUUAUUGGGUUUAAAGGGUGCGUAGGCGGCCUUUUAAGUCAGCGGUGAAAGUCUGUGGCUCAACCAUAGAAUUGCCGUUGAAACUGGGGGGCUUGAGUAUGUUUGAGGCAGGCGGAAUGCGUGGUGUAGCGGUGAAAUGCAUAGAUAUCACGCAGAACCCCGAUUGCGAAGGCAGCCUGCCAAGCCAUUACUGACGCUGAUGCACGAAAGCGUGGGGAUCAAACAGGAUUAGAUACCCUGGUAGUCCACGCAGUAAACGAUGAUCACUAGCUGUUUGCGAUACACUGUAAGCGGCACAGCGAAAGCGUUAAGUGAUCCACCUGGGGAGUACGCCGGCAACGGUGAAACUCAAAGGAAUUGACGGGGGCCCGCACAAGCGGAGGAACAUGUGGUUUAAUUCGAUGAUACGCGAGGAACCUUACCCGGGUUUGAACGCAUUCGGACCGAGGUGGAAACACCUUUUCUAGCAAUAGCCGUUUGCGAGGUGCUGCAUGGUUGUCGUCAGCUCGUGCCGUGAGGUGUCGGCUUAAGUGCCAUAACGAGCGCAACCCUUGCCACUAGUUACUAACAGGUAAAGCUGAGGACUCUGGUGGGACUGCCAGCGUAAGCUGCGAGGAAGGCGGGGAUGACGUCAAAUCAGCACGGCCCUUACAUCCGGGGCGACACACGUGUUACAAUGGCGUGGACAAAGGGAGGCCACCUGGCGACAGGGAGCGAAUCCCCAAACCACGUCUCAGUUCGGAUCGGAGUCUGCAACCCGACUCCGUGAAGCUGGAUUCGCUAGUAAUCGCGCAUCAGCCAUGGCGCGGUGAAUACGUUCCCGGGCCUUGUACACACCGCCCGUCAAGCCAUGGGAGCCGGGGGUACCUGAAGUCCGUAACCGAAAGGAUCGGCCUAGGGUAA
Molecule: ribosomal RNA, 1432 nt
Filed under: uncultured organism
Description: SSU rRNA
Rfam family: Bacterial small subunit ribosomal RNA
Source: RNAcentral